UGCCAGUGCUCAGAACUUACAGGAUCUGCCAGGCUUGCUCAAAUGCGAUGGACUCAAGGUUGGUCUUGAACUCACUAUGUAUCCAGGAAUGACCUUGAAUUUCUGAUCCUCCUGCUUCUACCGCUCAAGUGCUGGAAUUACAGACACGAGCCUCACCUUGCCUAUGGAGUACUGGGAUUCAACCCAAGGCUCUAUGUUCGCUAGGAGGACCCUGGGGGUCGCGACCCACAGGUUGAGAACUUCAAAAGGAAGCCACGCUGGUGGUAUGCAUCAACUGUUUAUUGAAAGGCGAAGCAAGAUGGAGGAGGUUGAUGCUCAUACAUCCUCAAAUCUCAUCUCGAACCGUUCCUCUAAGGCACCUUCCCGGAGACUUGGGCUCGGGCAGGUGUCAUUUCUCUUUACAAAGCCCAGAGCCGAGUGACCCUUUAGUGCAGCCACCUCUGAACAGAUUUGGCCAUGGAUUUUAGUUUUUAGGGCCAUGAGUCAGCACUGUAGCACCGAGAAGCUGGGCUGUGUGAAUUGAUAACACAAGGAGCUCGCUUGAAGACUUCAGAAGAAGCUGGUAAACUUAUUAGCCCUUGGCUGGAUCCACCUCUGCCAGAAGGCAUCCAACCUCCGGUCUCUGUUGUCGGAACCUAUUCACACCGUACUUUUGGCCCUUGAACAUGAAGACUCCUGGCCACCCUAGCAUCUCUCUUAUAGCCAUGAUCUGGCCUCAGUCCAACGCCACCUUCUCCCCAAAGCCACAGGUGCCAUCCCUUUGUCCUUACCUUCCAACACAGUGAGGGCCAGGGUCGGUUGAUAUACCGAAUGGGGAUUCUCUCUGGGUUAUAGGGGAGAGUGGUGGUGCCCAGCCAGUCAUUGUAGAAGAGAUUAGGAUAGAAGUCAAACCCAUACCAUGUACUUUCCUCCACACUGGUGCCAUGACUACAGACACAGGGGCGACUGCAGCUCAUCACGGAUCCCUGUGGGCACAGCAACAGAGGGAGGUCAGUAGAGUUGCCUUUCAUCCCUGAGUGAGGUCCCCUCUCCACCUCUCUGUCACCUCGCCCUCACAGGCCACCUACCCUUUCAGCAUCCUUCCUUAAGUUCGUGCACGAGCCAGGAGUUUUCCGCUUAACACCCCCCCCCCCCCCCGUAGCUGUCUGUCCGCCUGAGUGUUUUCUCUGAGGACCAUCUGGCAUCUGGAAUGUGGCUCUGGAGCCUCACUGUCGGACUGAGUCCCAGGGCCCACAGCGUCUUUGAUGUGACUUUAGAUUGGGUCCUGACCUCUCGGGCUUCCCUUGUUGGUGAAAUAGAACUAAUAACGACCUUGUCUGGGAAAUAGGGCUAACGAUGACAGCUGUUUCACUCAAUGAUCUUCUGUAAUUUUUAUGGCAUUGUCUUCUUCCAAUUUACUUACUACCCGUGUGAUGUACACAUAUGUGCGGGCAAACCCGUGUAGAAGUGAAAGGAAGUGUUUCAGAGUCACCUCUCCCCUUUGACCAAGUGAAUCCCCCAGCCAUCAGUUUGGCAGCAGCAUGUGUCCUUACCCCCAUGAGCCAUCUUGACAACUCCAAUUACUAUUCUUUGUUUUUGUUUUUAUUUCCUUCCUCAACUUUUGGGGCUCCCAUGUUUACAGUGAGAGAUCCUUAUGUUCCCCCUCAAAACUUCUGUCCUUUUAGAACCAUUUCUCGGGGUAACUUUCAUAGACGAUACUCGUGCAGUUGGGUGGGAGUCUUCACACUGUAUAGUCCUAAAAGCCUGAGGCAGAUUUCCCCUAUACACAAGUCCCAAGGAAUUGUGAGUUCAGGAUUAAGGGCUCUUGGUCCUUUUGACUACUAGAUUUCCAGGAAGACCAUUUAGGAACCCACAAAAGGAGACUCUGAGAUCUUGGGGAUGGAAGGGACCUGUGUCCAUCGAGGUACUGGGGGGAAAAACGUGGCUCUUUCUGCUGCUUCAUUCCCAUCUCCCUCAGCGCCACGUGCAGCUUCAACCAAAAUAAAACCAGUGGACUUGU
RNAcentral lists this long non-coding RNA (1999 nucleotides) under Mus musculus (house mouse). RNAcentral's name for it is "predicted gene 14164". The record is from RNAcentral. Lineage: Eukaryota; Metazoa; Chordata; Mammalia; Rodentia; Muridae.